Molecule: long non-coding RNA, 3949 nt
Organism: Camelus dromedarius (Arabian camel)
Lineage: Eukaryota; Metazoa; Chordata; Mammalia; Artiodactyla; Camelidae
Exons: 5
Source: RefSeq, a predicted model, not a curated record
UUCUAUAAAAGGGAAGCAGUGCGAUGUGGGAGCGUGUACUCCGAGGAGAAAGAGGAAGUGCUGCCGAAGAAGAGACACUUCAGCUGAGGCCUGAAGGCUGAGCUCUUGGGGUGAGGGGGAGCGGGCAGGAAGCAGGGGAAGGGCAGGCCCGGUGGAAGGAACAGCAUCGGCAAAGCCUCAGCCGCGGGACUUGCAUCUGUCCAGCUAGGGAUCUGAAAGGCGGCCGGCUCGGCACAGACACUUCGCCAAAACAAAGGGCGGUUGGUACAUCUCUCACCGGAGUGGAAAAAAGGGGAAACCCUUCUAGAGAAUUCUGUUUCAAGCUCAGGAAUCACCAACCAGAAUGCCAGGGAGUGGAGGGUGAAUCAGGCUGCCCUGGAGACCCCCUCCCCACGGACUGGCUGGAAACCUGGCCUGGGGGAACCGUCUCUGGGCCUGACAUCGUCCACCCAGGCCCUGCCCCGACCCGCUCUUUCUGAAGGAGGGACCUGGUCACGCUCCCGAUUUCUCUGCCUCAACCUGCUCGUCCCGGCUCGCCGCGGGGUCCUGCAGAGGCGCCGCGGGUCUGCGGGAAGUUCUUCCGGGUCACGCUCAAGGUCAAAUUGAUUUGCAUGUGAGCCUCUGCUUCCGGCCAGCCCCGGGUUCACGGUGAACAAGACCGCAGAGGCUCCGUCACCCCGGGAGAUUUUGCUCUCCAUCAGGAUGAACAUCAGAAGCUCCAGAUUUUCAUUCUACUGGCUUAGCCACCUCGCAGAAAGAGAGGCCACUUCAAAUCCCAGCAAACAAAGGAUGCUGGGGCCAUUACGCCAUCAGCCACUACGGCGCUCCACGAUGGUCAGCGGAGGGAACUCAGGCUGGAGACCAGCAGGCUGCUUGCUGACAAGUCCUCAGCCUCUGCAGCCAACACCCCCAUCCCACCAGCCAUGCUGCCUGCUGAGGGGAAUUAGGAUGGGAAAGCACAGGACACUGGCCCUGGAGCGCCAAGGGUCUCCGACUGCGCGGCACGUGAAUGAUGGGGUGACGGCCCUGCUGCUGUGUUGUGAACCCACCCUGUGCCCCAGAGGUGCUCCCCCGCAGUGACCCAGCGUGGAAGGGAAAUGAAGGUAGGCCCAUUCUGGCAAGACGUGGAAUGCCUCCGAUGGGGGACCUUGGCUCCAGGAUUUCCCAUCAGCCUGGACAAAAACUUCUUACUGUGCUGAGCCCCCUCCUACCUGACCCUCCUUGGGCCCCUCACUCCCAGACCAGCCUCUCAGCCUGCAGCCUCUCCCUCCUCCUCCUCAUCCCUGUUUCCCCCCAUAACCCUCUUGCACAUCUAAUCUCACCUUGGCAUCUUCUUGAAGGACCCAAACUGACCCAGCACUGUGGGAAUUAGAAAAAGAGACCCCGCUCCAACCACCACUGCCACGUCCGGGUGGAUGCGUAACAAUCAGAAGCUUUUUCCCACGUGGGCACACUCCAGUGCUACCUUAGAGUGACUGUGCUCACUGGCCAGGCCCCGAGUAUCCCAGCCUCCACUGUCCCCACCUGGCCCUUUCUGCUCCCCUCACCUGCCAGGGUCCUGGGACACUGAGGUUUGCCAAUCUGGUGGUCGCACCAACUUGCUGUGUGUCCUUGGCCCAGCUGCUGCCCCUUUCUGAGUCGUGCUCACCUGUUCUUGCAACCAAGGGAGAAAGACAGGCCCUUCUCUUCGAGAGCCCUCUACCUCUGUGCACUGACAGCGCUAGGGAAGAUGGAGAGGGAGAUAAAGAGAAAAUAGUACUGCUUAAUUGCCUCAUUAAGCCCGCCUUGUUGGGAAACCAGAAUUGGAGCAGGCUUCCUCUGUUUUAUUGCUCGCCUGCCCCCUCCUCAGCGGAUCACGCAGCUGAAUGCCGAGGGGGAUGGGGGAGGGUGGGGAAGGGGCCUGGAGACAGCGGAGGAUGCUUGGGAAGGGGCAGGACCUGGCCAGCCUCAGGCACAGCGAUGUUCACAUCCCUGUUGGGGUUUUAUUUGGCCACAUGUAACAAAGCCCCCCAAACGGCCACUUAAACAAGAGUGGGAUUUAUAUUUCUCCCGUGUGACAGUGACGGUAACAAGUGCUACUGUGGAACGUGACCUCCGUGGGCACCCAGAGCUGUUCUCAGCGUGGUACAUAGAUUAACUCACAUUAACCCCAUGUCCUGGGGUGAAGAGCACCCCUGCGAAAUUCACGUCCACCUGGAACCUGUGAAUGUGACCUUAUUUGGAAAUAGGGUGUUGACAGAUGUGAUCAAGUUUAGAUGAGGUCCUACUGAUCAGGGUGGGCCCUUAGCCAAUGACUGGUGUCCUUUAAGAAGAGGGGAAUCUGGACACAGAGACACAGAGGGAAGCCUGUUAUGUGACAACAAAGAAAGAAGUUGGAGGGGUGUGUCUACAAGCCAACGAACAUCCGGGAUUGCCUGCCACCAGCAGAAGCUCAGAGAGGGGCAUGGAACAGAUUCUCCCCAGAGACCCCAGAAGGAACUGACCUUGCUGACACCUUGAUUUCAGAGUUCUAGCCUCCAGGACUGUGAGAGAUUAGAUUUCAGUUGCUUUAAGCCACUUUGUGGUACUUGGUUGCAGCAGCCCAGGAAAGAAAUUCACUCCCAGAAGCGGGUUCUGUCCCCAUCCCCAUUUUACAGAUGGGAGCCUGAGGCACACUGAGGCUUUCCUCCGCUGCCACCUCCCUUAGUCUGUCCGAGCCUUUGCUUCUUCAUCUACGAAACGAGGCUCACGUGCUGCUCCUCUGUCCCCAUCGCACAGGGCUACCUGAGAGGAUGCUCCCCAGGCCCUUGUGUGUGCUGGACAUGUGUGUGUUGUUGUUUUACCAUUUCCCCCGUUUCUCGUGGCAUUAAGGACAUUCCUACUGUAUAGCCAUCACCACCACCCAUCUCCAGAAUUUUUUAAUCUUGCAAAACUGAAACUCUAAGCCCACUAAACACUAACUCCUCAUUCCCCCUCCCCCAGCACCGGCCACUCUACUUUCUGUCUAUGAAUUUGACUCUGGGGACCUCAUAUAAGUGGAAUCAUAGUAUCUGUCCUUUUGUGACUGGCUUCUUUCACUCAACAUAAUGUCCCCAAGAUUCAUCCAUGUUAUAGCAGGUGUCAGAAUCUCCUUCCUUUGUAAGGCUGAACCAUAUGCCAUUGUGUGGAUGGACCACAUUUUGCUCAUCCAUUCGUCAGUAGAUGGACAGUCGAGUGGCUUCCCUUUUGACUACUAUGAAUAAUGCUGCUAUGAACGUGGGUUACAAAUAUCAGACGUGCGUGUUUUAAAAUUCUUAAUUAUCAACAUUGUCAACAUCUGUGCCGUUUAUUUUCUCUUUGCCCCCAGCAUUCUUUCUCCACGGGGCUGACCCUACAAACGACAUCUCCCAGGCUCCCUCUGGCCCCGGCCAGGCUCAGCCAAUGGGAGGCAGUGGCAGGAAGCUGGUGGGCGGGGAGAAAGAGGUGAGGGCACUUGUUCCUCUAGCUCCCUCUCAUCUCAUCCACUUCUGGCAAUGGCUUCAUCUUUGCAGGACCACAGCUUUGGAAGCCUGUCUCCUCCUGUCUGGCUCCCAUGCUCACUGGACUCCUAUAAUGUUGCUUCCUCCCUCUGUCCCUUCGGACCCAGGAGCAGGUACACCCCCACAAGUGUCAGCCCCUUUCACUCUGCCACCUCCAUGGAGAGACCCUUCACCACACACUCUUUGCUGGACCAUCUGAGGGCAACUCUGUCUCCAGCUGGACCCUGAAUGACACACCCUCUUUAUUUUACAGAUGAGGAAACUGACACACAGAAAGAUUAAGUAAAUUGCUCAGAGUUAUAUCCCUAGUGAACCGGCUUGAACACAGGCUGUCUGAUUCUAGAGUCCAUGCUCUGAAUCAGGGCUCAGCCAACCACAGCCCUUGAGCCAGACCCGGCCCACUGCCUGUUUUUGUCAAUAAAGUUUUACUGGCACACAGCCAGGCCCACUGA